GAUGAACGCUGGCGGCGUGCCUAAUACAUGCAAGUCGAGCGAACAGACGAGGAGCUUACUCCUCUGACGUUAGCGGCGGACGGGUGAGUAACACGUGGAUAACCUACCUAUAAGACUGGGAUAACUUCGGGAAACCGGAGCUAAUACCGGAUAACAUGUUGAACCGCAUGGUUCAACAGUGAAAGACGGUCUUGCUGUCACUUAUAGAUGGAUCCGCGUCGCAUUAGCUAGUUGGUAAGGUAACGGCUUACCAAGGCAACGAUGCGUAGCCGGCCUGAGAGGGUGAUCGGCCACACUGGAACUGAGACACGGUCCAGACUCCUACGGGAGGCAGCAGUAGGGAAUCUUCCGCAAUGGGCGAAAGCCUGACGGAGCAACGCCGCGUGAGUGAAGAAGGUCUUCGGAUCGUAAAACUCUGUUAUUAGGGAAGAACAAAUGUGUAAGUAACUAUGCACGUCUUGACGGUACCUAAUCAGAAAGCCACGGCUAACUACGUG
This 497-nucleotide ribosomal RNA is filed under the name uncultured bacterium. RNAcentral describes it as "partial 16S ribosomal RNA". It matches the Rfam family "Bacterial small subunit ribosomal RNA", at positions 28 to 507 of the family's 1533-position model. The record is from RNAcentral.